UACGAAGGGUGCAAGCGUUAAUCGGAAUUACUGGGCGUAAAGCGCGCGUAGGUGGUUUGUUAAGUUGAAUGUGAAAGCCCCGGGCUCAACCUGGGAACUGCAUCCAAAACUGGCAAGCUAGAGUAUGGCAGAGGGUGGUGGAAUUUCCUGUGUAGCGGUGAAAUGCGUAGAUAUAGGAAGGAACACCAGUGGCGAAGGCGACCACCUGGGCUAAUACUGACACUGAGGUGCGAAAGCGUGGGGAGCAAACAGG
RNAcentral lists this ribosomal RNA (253 nucleotides) under uncultured bacterium. RNAcentral describes it as "partial 16S ribosomal RNA". It matches the Rfam family "Bacterial small subunit ribosomal RNA", at positions 524 to 776 of the family's 1533-position model. The record is from RNAcentral. RNAcentral also lists the same sequence under 2 other names.